This 484-nucleotide ribosomal RNA is filed under the name uncultured bacterium. RNAcentral's name for it is "partial 16S ribosomal RNA". It matches the Rfam family "Bacterial small subunit ribosomal RNA", at positions 28 to 507 of the family's 1533-position model. The record is from RNAcentral.
AUUGAACGCUGGCGGCAUGCUUUACACAUGCAAGUCGAACGGCAGCGCGGGCUUCGGCCUGGCGGCGAGUGGCGAACGGGUGAGUAAUGCAUCGGAACGUGCCCAGCAGUGGGGGAUAGCCCGGCGAAAGCCGGAUUAAUACCGCAUACGACCUGAGGGUGAAAGCGGGGGACCGAAAGGCCUCGCGCCAUUGGAGCGGCCGAUGUCGGAUUAGCUAGUUGGUGGGGUAAAGGCUUACCAAGGCGACGAUCCGUAGCUGGUCUGAGAGGACGACCAGCCACACUGGGACUGAGACACGGCCCAGACUCCUACGGGAGGCAGCAGUGGGGAAUUUUGGACAAUGGGGGCAACCCUGAUCCAGCCAUGCCGCGUGCGGGAAGAAGGCCUUCGGGUUGUAAACCGCUUUUGUUCGGGAAGAAAUCCUCUGGGCUAAUACCCCGGGGGGAUGACGGUACCGGAAGAAUAAGCACCGGCUAACUACGUG